This 250-nucleotide ribosomal RNA is filed under the name uncultured bacterium. RNAcentral's name for it is "partial 16S ribosomal RNA". It matches the Rfam family "Bacterial small subunit ribosomal RNA", at positions 505 to 754 of the family's 1533-position model. The record is from RNAcentral.
GUGCCAGCAGCCGCGGUAAUACGGAGGGUGCAAGCGUUAUCCGGAUUUAUUGGGUUUAAAGGGUGCGCAGGCGGGUUUGUAAGUCAGCGGUGAAAUCCCACGGCUCAACCGUGGAACUGCCAUUGAUACUGCAGGCCUUGAGUGUAUUUGAAGUGGGCGGAAUGUAGCAUGUAGCGGUGAAAUGCAUAGAUAUGCUACAGAACACCAAUUGCGAAGGCAGCUCACUAAACUACAACUGACGCUCAUGCAC